GGCCGUCCAUGAUUGGUGCAAGGGCCAAGAUUUAAUGGGACUUAUGGAACCCCAUGGUUUAGGGUUUAGGGUGUGAUGGAGCAAAUCCAAGUGCCAUAAGGAGUAGGAGUUAUCAAGCCUGUGGUCUAUAUAAGAUGGGGGUUGGGGACCGGCCGAGAGCACUAAACAUGGUUAGAGGUGAAGUAAUUCAGGUGGAGAGUUCACGGCAAAAGUGGUA
RNAcentral lists this long non-coding RNA (217 nucleotides) under Elaeis guineensis (African oil palm). RNAcentral's name for it is "long non-coding RNA (EGUI_LNC003078)". Lineage: Eukaryota; Viridiplantae; Streptophyta; Magnoliopsida; Arecales; Arecaceae. The record is from RNAcentral.